UACGGAGGAAGCAAGCGUUAUCCGGAAUUACUGGGCGUAAAGAGUUGCGUAGGUGGCAUUGUAUGUCGAUAGUGAAAGCGUGUGGCUCAACCAUAUACACAUUAUCGAAACUGCAAGGCUUGAGGACGAGAGAGGUUAUUGGAAUUCCCAGUGUAGGAGUGAAAUCCGUAGAUAUUGGGAGGAACACCGAUGGCGUAGGCAGAUAACUGGCUCGUUCCUGACACUAAGGCACGAAAGCGUGGGGAGCAAACGGG
Molecule: ribosomal RNA, 254 nt
Filed under: uncultured bacterium
Lineage: Bacteria
Description: partial 16S ribosomal RNA
Rfam family: Bacterial small subunit ribosomal RNA
Source: RNAcentral